Molecule: long non-coding RNA, 336 nt
Organism: Saccostrea cuccullata (small rock oyster)
Lineage: Eukaryota; Metazoa; Mollusca; Bivalvia; Ostreida; Ostreidae
Exons: 3
Source: RefSeq, a predicted model, not a curated record
AUUUAUCGAAUAAUAACGGCAGUUACUUUUAAAAUUAUUACUGCAUAUUCCAGCAUUCUCGUGCCCGAAGCAAGUCAACGUAACAUUUUUCUGCCUUCGUUAUAAAUUUCACAAUCAUGUUACACUGGGAAGAAGAUCCCUUAUAGCCAUUCUCUAUAUCAAACGCAGCAGUUAGCAGUCGUGAUAGAAACAAAAUCAUUAUGGAGACUGAGGAGGAGGAGGAAUCGACCUCCACGUGUGCCCAGGUAGCCACCAAUCCAGCAGUUAGCAGUCGUGAUAGAAACAAAAUCAUUAUGGAGACUGAGGAGGAGGAGGAAUCGACAUCCACGUGUGCCC